AACGAACGCUGGCGGCAGGCUUAACACAUGCAAGUCGAACGGUUGUAGCAAUACAGCAGUGGCAGACGGGUGAGUAACACGUGGGAACCUUCCUAGGGGUACGGAACAACUCAGGGAAACUUGAGCUAAUACCGUAUACGUCCGUGAGGAGAAAGAUUUAUCGCCCUUAGACGGGCCCGCGUCGGAUUAGCUAGUUGGUGGGGUAACGACCUACCACGGCGACGAUCCGUAGGUGAUUUUAGAGGAUGUUCAGCAACACUGGGACUGAGACACGGCCCAGACUCCAACGGGAGGCAGCAGUGGGGAAUCUUGGACAAUGGGCGCAAGCCUGAUCCAGCCAUGCCGCGUGAUUGAAGAAGGUCUUCGGAUUGUAAAGCUCUGUUGCCAGGGACGAUAAUGACGGUACCUGGAGAAUAAGCCCCGGCAAACUUCGUGCCAGCAGCCGCAGUAA
This 451-nucleotide ribosomal RNA is filed under the name uncultured bacterium. RNAcentral's name for it is "partial 16S ribosomal RNA". It matches the Rfam family "Bacterial small subunit ribosomal RNA", at positions 29 to 523 of the family's 1533-position model. The record is from RNAcentral.